This 421-nucleotide ribosomal RNA is filed under the name uncultured bacterium. RNAcentral's name for it is "partial 16S ribosomal RNA". It matches the Rfam family "Bacterial small subunit ribosomal RNA", at positions 360 to 773 of the family's 1533-position model. The record is from RNAcentral.
AAUAUUGGACAAUGGGGGCAACCCUGAUCCAGCCAUGCCGCGUGUGUGAAGAAGGUCUUCGGAUUGUAAAGCACUUUAAGUUGGGAGGAAGGGCUUUAGGUUAAUACCCUGAAGUUUUGACGUUACCAACAGAAUAAGCACCGGCUAACUCUGUGCCAGCAGCCGCGGUAAUACAGAGGGUGCAAGCGUUAAUCGGAAUUACCGGGCGUAAAGGGCGCGUAGGCGGAUCGUUAAGUCAGGGGUGAAAUCCCGGGGCUCAACCUCGGAAUUGCUUUCAUAACUGCUGAGCUAGAGUACGGUAGAGGGUAGGGGAAUUUCCUGUGUAGCGGUGAAAUGCGUAGAUAUAGGAAGGAACACCAGUGGCGAAGGCGACUACCUGGACUGAUACUGACACUGAGGUGCGAAAGCGUGGGGAGCAAAC